CAGUGCAGUCACCCAUAAAGUAGAAAGCACUACUAACAGCACUGGAGGGUGUAGUGUUUCCUACUUUAUGGAUGAGUGUACUGU
Molecule: non-coding RNA, 84 nt
Organism: Gorilla gorilla (western gorilla)
Lineage: Eukaryota; Metazoa; Chordata; Mammalia; Primates; Hominidae
Source: Rfam